Molecule: ribosomal RNA, 253 nt
Filed under: uncultured bacterium
Lineage: Bacteria
Description: partial 16S ribosomal RNA
Rfam family: Bacterial small subunit ribosomal RNA
Source: RNAcentral
UACGGAGGGUGCAAGCGUUGUUCGGAAUCAUUGGGCGUAAAGCGCGUGUAGGCGGCUUGGCAAGUCAGUUGUGAAAGCCCGGGGCCCAACCCCGGAAUUGCAUCUGAAACUGCCUGGCUAGAGUCCCGGAGAGGAAGGCAGAAUUCCCGGUGUAGGGGUGAAAUCCGUAGAUAUCGGGAGGAAUACCAGCGGCGAAGGCGGCUCACUGGCCCGGUACUGACGCUGAGGUGCGAAAGCGUGGGGAGCAAACAGG